This is a small nuclear RNA of Xenopus tropicalis (tropical clawed frog), 194 nucleotides long. Its record names the gene U2. It matches the Rfam family "U2 spliceosomal RNA". Rfam says of the family: U2 is a small nuclear RNA (snRNA) component of the spliceosome (involved in pre-mRNA splicing). Complementary binding between U2 snRNA (in an area lying towards the 5' end but 3' to hairpin I) and the branchpoint sequence (BPS) of the intron results the bulging out of an unpaired adenosine, on the BPS, which initiates a nucleophilic attack at the intronic 5' splice site, thus starting the first of two transesterification reactions that mediate splicing. The record is from Ensembl. Lineage: Eukaryota; Metazoa; Chordata; Amphibia; Anura; Pipidae.
GUCGCUUCUCAGCCUUUUGGCUAAGAUCAAGUGUAGUAUCUGUUCUUGGCUUGGGGGGGGGUACAUCCUAGCUAAAGGAUGUAUGGAAGAAUCCUCCUCAUUGUCGGGGCAGAGAGGCACUUGAUCCUGUAGCCAGGAGGCCGGAUUGCAUAUGGAGCCUGAGUUGGUAGUGCCUCAGGCCUUGCAAACCUGUG